Molecule: ribosomal RNA, 382 nt
Filed under: uncultured eukaryote
Lineage: Eukaryota
Description: partial 18S ribosomal RNA
Rfam family: Eukaryotic small subunit ribosomal RNA
Source: RNAcentral
UGUAAGCGUAUACCAAAGUUGUUGCAGUUAAAACGCUCGUAGUCGGAAUUUGGCAGUUCCGGAAGUGUGCACGUCGUGUGCGCACUUUGCGGGGACUGCUUUUGUGGUCUUGCGUAGGAUGAGGCACUUUCAUUAGUGAACGUCCUCACGCAACCACUCUUUACUGUGAGAAAAUCAGAGUGCUCAAAGCAGGCAUUUGCCGUGAAUGUAUUAGCAUGGAAUAAUAGAAUAGGACUCGGUUCUAUUUUGUCGGUUUGUUGGGACUGAGUAAUGAUUAAGAGGGACAGUUGGGGGCAUUUGUAUUCCGGCGCUAGAGGUGAAAUUCUUAGAUUGCCGGAAGACAAACUGCUGCGAAAGCGUCUGCCAAGGAUGUUUUCAUUGA